UAAUUCAACAUGAUGAUAACAUAGUUCAACUGAACGAAUUAUGUCGAUUUACUAUAUUCUUUCGCUCCUAUCUGAUCAAACUA
RNAcentral lists this small nucleolar RNA (83 nucleotides) under Mnemiopsis leidyi (sea walnut). RNAcentral describes it as "small nucleolar RNA snR60/Z15/Z230/Z193/J17". It matches the Rfam family "Small nucleolar RNA snR60/Z15/Z230/Z193/J17". Rfam says of the family: The members of this family belong to the C/D class of snoRNAs which contain the C (UGAUGA) and D (CUGA) box motifs. Most of the members of the box C/D family function in directing site-specific 2'-O-methylation of substrate RNAs. The record is from RNAcentral. Lineage: Eukaryota; Metazoa; Ctenophora; Tentaculata; Lobata; Bolinopsidae.